RNAcentral lists this long non-coding RNA (386 nucleotides) under Felis catus (domestic cat). RNAcentral's name for it is "lncRNA (ENSFCAG00000040877.2)". Lineage: Eukaryota; Metazoa; Chordata; Mammalia; Carnivora; Felidae. The record is from RNAcentral.
AGCCUACUUUGGACUCUGUGUGUUUCUCUCUCUGCCCCUCCCUCACUGGCACUCUAUCUCUCUCUCUUUUAAAAAUAAAUAAACAUUAAAAGAAGAAGAAGAAGAAGAAGAAGAAGAAGAAGAAGAAGAAAAGGAUUAUUGCUUUCCUCUGCCAGGUACAUCUGCCAUUUGUGUGUUGGAUUAUCUCUGAAACAGAUAUUCAUCGACGGCAGAAUGACUCAAUGCCAUAUUUUCUCACAAACGAUAACGGUCACGAUUAGAUGAUGCUGGGUUAUGCUGUGCUACUGAGACAUCAGCUGGAGAAAAACACAAACAUCAACAACUCUGAGCUGGAAAACGAUGGAGGGCAAUUGGACACAAUCAUCUGCUUUAUUUUGUGUAAAUAG